GAGAAAGACAUAGAGGCUAUGUGAUUGGCUUGAAACCAGUUUUAGGGGGUUCGAUUCCUUCCUUUCUUA
RNAcentral lists this transfer RNA (69 nucleotides) under Grammomys macmillani (Macmillan's thicket rat). Its description in RNAcentral is "tRNA-Ser". It matches the Rfam family "tRNA". From Rfam's summary of the family: Transfer RNA (tRNA) molecules are approximately 80 nucleotides in length. Their secondary structure includes four short double-helical elements and three loops (D, anti-codon, and T loops). Further hydrogen bonds mediate the characteristic L-shaped molecular structure. tRNAs have two regions of fundamental functional importance: the anti-codon, which is responsible for specific mRNA codon recognition, and the 3' end, to which the tRNAs corresponding amino acid is attached (by aminoacyl-tRNA synthetases). tRNAs cope with the degeneracy of the genetic code in two manners: having more than one tRNA (with a specific anti-codon) for a particular amino acid; and 'wobble' base-pairing, i.e. permitting non-standard base-pairing at the 3rd anti-codon position. The record is from RNAcentral. Lineage: Eukaryota; Metazoa; Chordata; Mammalia; Rodentia; Muridae.